UACGUAGGGCGCAAGCGUAUCCGGAAUUAUUGGGCGUAAAGAGCUCGUAGGCGGUUUGUCGCGUCUGCCGUGAAAGUCCGGGGCUCAACUCCGGAUCUGCGGUGGGUACGGGCAGACUAGAGUGAUGUAGGGGGAGACUGGAAUUCCUGGUGUAGCGGUGAAAUGCGCAGAUAUCAGGAGGAACACCGAUGGCGAAGGCAGAUCUCUGGGCCGUAACUGACGCUGAGGAGCGAAAGCAUGGGGAGCGAACAGG
RNAcentral lists this ribosomal RNA (253 nucleotides) under uncultured bacterium. Its description in RNAcentral is "partial 16S ribosomal RNA". It matches the Rfam family "Bacterial small subunit ribosomal RNA", at positions 524 to 776 of the family's 1533-position model. The record is from RNAcentral.